Molecule: ribosomal RNA, 118 nt
Filed under: Cebus imitator (Panamanian white-faced capuchin)
Lineage: Eukaryota; Metazoa; Chordata; Mammalia; Primates; Cebidae
Source: RNAcentral
GUCUACGGCCAUACCACCCUGAAUGCGCCCCAUCUCAUCUGAUCUAGGAAGCUAAGCAGGGCCGGGCCUGGUUAGUGCUUGGAUAGGAGAAUUUAAAGGUAAAAAUGCUUUGUAAAAC